This 253-nucleotide ribosomal RNA is filed under the name uncultured bacterium. Its description in RNAcentral is "partial 16S ribosomal RNA". It matches the Rfam family "Bacterial small subunit ribosomal RNA", at positions 524 to 776 of the family's 1533-position model. The record is from RNAcentral.
UACGAAGGGGGCUAGCGUUGUUCGAGAUUACUGGGCGUAAAGCGCAUGUAGGCGGAUCUAUAAGUCAGAGGUGAACUCCCCGGGCUCAACCCUGGAAUUGCCUUUGAUACUGUAGAUCUGGAGUCUGGGAGAGGUGAGUGGAAUUCCGAGUGUAGAGGUGAAAUUCGUAGAUAUUCGGAGGAACACCAGUGGCGAAGGUGUCUCACUGGCCCGAGACUGACGCUGAGAUGCGACAGCGUGGGGAGCAAACAGG